RNAcentral lists this ribosomal RNA (484 nucleotides) under uncultured bacterium. RNAcentral's name for it is "partial 16S ribosomal RNA". It matches the Rfam family "Bacterial small subunit ribosomal RNA", at positions 30 to 507 of the family's 1533-position model. The record is from RNAcentral.
AUUGAACGCUGGCGGCAGGCCUAACACAUGCAAGUCGAGCGGAUGAAGGGAGCUUGCUCCUGGAUUCAGCGGCGGACGGGUGAGUAAUGCCUAGGAAUCUGCCUGGUAGUGGGGGAUAACGUCCGGAAACGGGCGCUAAUACCGCAUACGUCCUGAGGGAGAAAGUGGGGGAUCCUCGGACCUCACGCUAUCAGAUGAGCCUAGGUCGGAUUAGCUAGUUGGUGGGGUAAAGGCCUACCAAGGCGACGAUCCGUAACUGGUCCGAGAGGAUGAUCAGUCACACUGGAACUGAGACACGGUCCAGACUCCUACGGGAGGCAGCAGUGGGGAAUAUUGGACAAUGGGCGAAAGCCUGAUCCAGCCAUGCCGCGUGUGUGAAGAAGGUCUUCGGAUUGUAAAGCACUUUAAGUUGGGAGGAAGGGCAGUAAGUUAAUACCUUGCUGUUUUGACGUUACCAACAGAAUAAGCACCGGCUAACUUCGUG